RNAcentral lists this ribosomal RNA (230 nucleotides) under uncultured Actinomycetales bacterium. RNAcentral describes it as "partial 16S ribosomal RNA". It matches the Rfam family "Bacterial small subunit ribosomal RNA", at positions 104 to 334 of the family's 1533-position model. The record is from RNAcentral. Lineage: Bacteria; Bacillati; Actinomycetota; Actinomycetes; Actinomycetales.
GGGUGAGUAACACGUGAGUAACCUGCCCUUGACUUUGGGAUAACUUCAGGAAACUGGGGCUAAUACCGGAUAGGAGCUCCUGACUGCAUGGUGGGGGUUGGAAAGUUUCGGCGGUUGGGGAUGGACUCGCGGCUUAUCAGCUUGUUGGUGGGGUAGUGGCUUACCAAGGCUUUGACGGGUAGCCGGCCUGAGAGGGUGACCGGCCACAUUGGGACUGAGAUACGGCCCAG